Molecule: ribosomal RNA, 466 nt
Filed under: uncultured bacterium
Lineage: Bacteria
Description: partial 16S ribosomal RNA
Rfam family: Bacterial small subunit ribosomal RNA
Source: RNAcentral
GACGAACGCUGGCGGCGUGCUUAACACAUGCAAGUCGAACGGAAAGGCCCUGCUUUUGUGGGGUGCUCGAGUGGCGAACGGGUGAGUAACACGUGAGUAACCUGCCCUUGACUUUGGGAUAACUUCAGGAAACUGGGGCUAAUACCGGAUAGGAGCUCCUGCUGCAUGGUGGGUGUUGGAAAGUUUCGGCGGUUGGGGAUGGACUCGCGGCUUAUCAGCUUGUUGGUGGGGUAGUGGCUUACCAAGGCUUUGACGGGUAGCCGGCCUGAGAGGGUGACCGGCCACAUUGGGACUGAGAUACGGCCCAGACUCCUACGGGAGGCAGCAGUGGGGAAUAUUGCACGAUGGGCGGAAGCCUGAUGCAGCAACGCCGCGUGCGGGAUGAAGGCCUUCGGGUUGUAAACCGCUUUCGCCUGUGACGAAGCGUGAGUGACGGUAAUGGGUAAAGAAGCACCGGCUAACUACG